Molecule: non-coding RNA, 21 nt
Filed under: Caenorhabditis elegans
Lineage: Eukaryota; Metazoa; Nematoda; Chromadorea; Rhabditida; Rhabditidae
Source: RNAcentral
UUAUGAAAUGAUUUAUUUAUU